RNAcentral lists this ribosomal RNA (228 nucleotides) under uncultured Pseudomonas sp. RNAcentral describes it as "partial 16S ribosomal RNA". It matches the Rfam family "Bacterial small subunit ribosomal RNA", at positions 126 to 356 of the family's 1533-position model. The record is from RNAcentral. Lineage: Bacteria; Pseudomonadati; Pseudomonadota; Gammaproteobacteria; Pseudomonadales; Pseudomonadaceae.
CUGCCUGGUAGUGGGGGACGAACGUUUCGAAAGGAACGCUAAUACCGCAUACGUCCUACGGGAGAAAGCAGGGACCUUCGGGCCUUGCGCUAUCAGAUGAGCCUAGGUCGGAUUAGCUAGUUGGUGAGGUAAUGGCUCACCAAGGCGACGAUCCGUAACUGGUCUGAGAGGAUGAUCAGUCACACUGGAACUGAGACACGGUCCAGACUCCUACGGGAGGCAGCAGUG